Molecule: long non-coding RNA, 239 nt
Filed under: Panax ginseng (ginseng)
Lineage: Eukaryota; Viridiplantae; Streptophyta; Magnoliopsida; Apiales; Araliaceae
Description: long non-coding RNA (PGIN_LNC001140)
Source: RNAcentral
AUUUUUCUUCUCAGGAGACGAGAAUGUAGCGAGUACUAGUCGGGGUAUGGAAUGAAGGUUCUAGAGAGAGUUGUUUAAUAGUCCUCACCAUUUUUGUAAAAUAAUGUAUCAAUAAUUAUGAUGGGGAUUUAUUUGGGUAUGUAUAUUGUCUAGAAGACAAUAAUUGUAUUUAAACUCACAGUAUAUAUGUUGUCGUAUUUUGCACGACAAAUGUAUUAAUAAAGUUGAAGUUAUUUCUG